ACCCGUUGAUCCUGCGGGAGAACGCUGCUAUUUGGGUUCGAAUUAGCCAUGCAAGUCUGGGGGUCUUCGGACCACCGGCAGACUGCUCAGUAACACGUCAUUAAUCUGACCUGCAGUCAGGGAUAGCCUCGGGAAACUGAGGGUAACACCUGAUGAGGUACACAAGCUGGAAUGCUGUGUACAACAAACUCGUGCUGCAGGAUGAGAUGGCGGCUGAUUAGAUUGAUGGUGGGGUAAUGGCCCACCAUGUCUAUGAUCAGUACGGGCCUUGAGAGAGGUAGCCCGGAGAGGGACACUGAGGAACUGGUCCCAGCCCUACGGGGUGCAGCAGGCGCGUAACCUUUACAAUGCACGAAAGUGUGAUAAGGGAACCCAAGGUGCUCAUGUUAUGCAUGGGCUUUUUUCAAGAGUAAAUAUCUUGGCGAAUAAGUGGUGGGCAAGACUGGUGCCAGCAGCCGCGGUAACACCAGCGCCACGAGUGGCGUUCACGAUUAUUGGGCCUAAAGCGUCCGUAGCUGGUUCUGUAAGUUUCUUGUGAAAGAGUGGGGCUCAACCCUACUUCGCGCAAGAAAGACUGCAGGGCUAGAGACCGGGAGGAGUAAGAGGUAUUUCAGGGGGACUGGUAAAAUGGAAUAAUCCCUGAAGGACCACCAAUGGCGAAGGCAUCUUACUAGAACGGUUCUGACAGUGAGGGACGAAAGCUAGGGGAGCGAACCGGAUUAGAUACCCGAGUAGUCCUAGCCGUAAACGCUGUGUGUUAGGUGUUGCAUUUCUCACGAGGAAAUGCAGUGUCGUAGGGAAGCCGUUAAACACACCGCCUGGGAAGUACGGUCGCAAGGCUGAAACUUUAAGGAAUUGGCGGGGGAGCACCACAAGGGGUGCGGCGUGCUGUUUUAAUUUAACUUUACACAGAGAAUCUCACCAGAGGCGACUGCUGGAUGAUAGCCAGUCUAAAGGGCUUGCUUGACUAGCAGAGAGGUAGUGCAUGGCCGCCGUCAGUUCGUGCCGUGAGGUGUCCUGUUAAGUCAGGUAACGAACGAGACCUAUAUCUAUAAUUGCCAGUGGCUGUUACGGCAGGACCGGGCACAUUAUGGAGACUGCCUUGGAAACGAGGAGGAAGGUGUAGGCAACGGUAGGUCUGUAUGCUCCGAAUCUUCUGGGCUACAAGCGCGCAACAAUGGCGGAGACAAUGGGCUGCGACUCCGAAAGGAGGAGCCAAUCCUCGAAACUUCGUCUAAGUUCAGAUUGUGGAUUGUAACUCAUCCACAUGACGCUGGAAUCCCUAGUAAUCAGGUAUUAUCAGUGCCUGGUGAAUAUGUCCCUGCUCCUUGCACACACCGCCCGUCAUUCCAACCGAGCAGUGUUUAGGUGAGUAUUAUAUGUAGUGUGUAAUACGAAUCUAAGCUCAGUGAGGCGGGACAAGUCGUCACAAGGUA
RNAcentral lists this ribosomal RNA (1436 nucleotides) under metagenome. Its description in RNAcentral is "bacterial SSU rRNA". It matches the Rfam family "Archaeal small subunit ribosomal RNA". The record is from RNAcentral.